RNAcentral lists this ribosomal RNA (625 nucleotides) under uncultured bacterium. RNAcentral describes it as "bacterial SSU rRNA". It matches the Rfam family "Bacterial small subunit ribosomal RNA", at positions 338 to 958 of the family's 1533-position model. The record is from RNAcentral.
CCUACGGGAGGCAGCAGUGGGGAAUUUUGGACAAUGGGCGCAAGCCUGAUCCAGCAAUGCCGCGUGCAGGAUGAAGGCCUUCGGGUUGUAAACUGCUUUUGUACGGAACGAAACGGCGAGCUCUAAUAAAGUUCGCUAAUGACGGUACCGUAAGAAUAAGCACCGGCUAACUACGUGCCAGCAGCCGCGGUAAUACGUAGGGUGCAAGCGUUAAUCGGAAUUACUGGGCGUAAAGCGUGCGCAGGCGGUGAUGUAAGACAGAUGUGAAAUCCCCGGGCUCAACCUGGGACCUGCAUUUGUGACUGCAUCGCUAGAGUACGGUAGAGGGGGAUGGAAUUCCGCGUGUAGCAGUGAAAUGCGUAGAUAUGCGGAGGAACACCGAUGGCGAAGGCAAUCCCCUGGACCUGUACUGACGCUCAUGCACGAAAGCGUGGGGAGCAAACAGGAUUAGAUACCCUGGUAGUCCACGCCCUAAACGAUGUCAACUGGUUGUUGGGUCUUCACUGACUCAGUAACGAAGCUAACGCGUGAAGUUGACCGCCUGGGGAGUACGGCCGCAAGGUUGAAACGUCAAAGGAGUAGUAGGACGUGAGAGNGCGACGGACGACGACGAGGGAGGGAGGAG